ACAGGGAGAAUAGUGGAUGUUGCCUACCUUGACUUCAAGAAGGCUUUUGAAUUUGUCUCCCAUAACAUCCUCCCAGAUGUGCUGCUUGGAAUACAACACAUUUUUUUAGAUUUAGAUGUACAGCACAUACUAUUUGCAAGAAAAGCUCUCAAAGCAGUUUAAGGACCCAUACGUGAUUUCAAUUGCAGAUGUUUUGGUGACCAGAGAAAUCCAAGGCCCAUCUGUGCUGCAGUGAUGUGCACCCUUACUUCACCUGCUCAAACUAGCAGGCUUGUACCAAAUGUGGGGUAGAACAUCUACCUAGUAGUGUCUUGUCAGCAAGUGGACAAGGAUCUUACAGGUUGUAAUUGAGAAAGAAAUUCAGCACCCUUUCUGCUGUGAGGCUGGUUGAGCAUCCUCAGAAGGGAAGCAAAACUUGGCUUGCUGACAGGAGAAUGUGACAAAACUGGAGAAGAAAGCAUCCAAGGCUUAUAGGCUGCAGAGCCAUCUCUUCCCACCACUCUCUGCCAGUCUCUAAGCAGAUGUUGUUCUGCAGGUAGUGCCAGGGGCAGGCUGCUGCUCCAGUUAGAAAAAGCCACUCAGCUUACCUGCUGGAGACAGGAGUUUUGCUAUGACUGUUUCUGCAGCCAGCUCAUUUAUUCUAACUAGAAAAUCCAAUCUCUCCCCCUGGGUAAAAGGACCCAGGAUCAUAGGCUACACAGAUGACUUACUGGAUAAUUGAGAUCUGAGCAUGGCUAGACAGGAAUUGAAGCCACCUGGUUUGCACACAGAUACAGAUUUUCUCUGCCAGGGAGGCAGGCUCAGUGUACACUUCUGAGCAAACAUAGUUUUAUGGCUGCCAAACACCCAGCAGUGGCACACUUCCUUCUUUGUUCUCUGCAAUGCAAAGCCAAUGGGCUGUUUUCUACUUUUGCAGAAGCAAGGAUAAUUGUCUCUUGGUGAAUCUAUACAGCAGCAACAAUAUGUUGAGAAUAGAUAUCAGUCCAGCUCAGAGCAUGGAAUGCAUAAUGAUGCUUCUUCCUCAGCAGACAUCAGCAGGCAUUUGAGCAGUUCCCUCCCAGAACAAUUGGGCAUGGAUACAAAAAGACAUAUAUGUGGAUAAACACUGACCUUAGUCUAUUAGGAGCAUAAACAUAGAAUAAUUACAAGUAAUUAGGCUUCAGAUUAAUAUCACAAAAAUCUUCAGCACUACAACUUCUGUCACCUCUCCUUCAACACCAUCUACAAGUUCUUGUUUCACACUGACUCGCACAGAAGUGUUUAUAAGUAAUAAUGCAAACCCUUCUUGACAGUUCUGAGGUUCUUCUUUUCCAUGUUCCAGCAAGCCCUGCUCAUAAACUAUCAGAGCGGAUGGGAUCACUAUAUGACUGAGGACAGUUAUUUGAUAAGUUUAAUAGAGUAGCGUUAAACGAAACUGAAGAAUAUAGUAACACAAACCAUAGAGCCUUAUUGUCAUUACUGGAAAAAUCAACUUUUGUGUAACAAGCCACACCUUUGAAAAAAACAUUAACUUUUUCCACAAGUGAAAUAUUGGGUGAGUUGGUUGUUGGGAGUAGGUUGUGGUCUGAUAUGCCCAGUAAGUCUUUGGUGGGUAAUUCAUUUGGAUCCUGAACACCUAAACCAGAUGUUUGUAUUUAAUAGGUCGGUGAGUCUCAUAAGCAAGUCAUUAUUUAAUGGUAGAAUUGGGUAUUUCAACAUCUCUCUCUCUUUUUCCACGACCAAGCAGACAUAGUGUCACACAUACAUACUUUUAUCACUUGUGUGCAGCAUAACGUAGGCAUUUAAUAGCUUUUAGAAUUACAUGUAGGAGACUGAUGUAAUUUUUUAGCAGUUUAUGAGAACUCCAACUGUAGGUUUAUAGGAUACAAAAGUUUAAUUAUUCCGUAUCUGGGAUGGAUUCGGAGGUGAAGCAAAAAAGAAAGUCAUGUUUGGAAUAUAACACAUAUAUGACGCAAGUAUCGCAACAGUCAUGUCAUAAGUCCUCCUCCUGAAUAGUUUGAGUCACUGUUGUAUUCAUUAAAUUGCAUUUACAGCUAGAUACUCUGCUGAGAUGUCAGUCUGUCUUUAACUUCAGUCUGGAGUGAAUUUAUUGGGGUAAGCCUGAAUUCCAGAUUGAGUGUUCAUUUUUUUCACUGAAUUAUUUUGAAUUUAUUCCAGUGUUAUAAGGUAGAGUUUGGCCCAUCACACAGUUUCAAGGAUGUUUUCAAACACUGGGUUGUAAGUGAACUUGUGAUCACUAUAAUUUGUGAAGAUCUCUGUUUACCAGCUGAAGUAAGAUUUACAUACAAAUAAGUAGAAAAGAUUCAACAUGUGCAAAUUUUAAGCUUAUGAAAUCUAUUUUGCCUCUUUUUCUCUAUGUCUAGAAGCUGCCAAUUCCUGUUAAAUAAAGGUUUCCAAAGUAACAGGGCAGAAUUUGGCCCCAAAACCACCACAAAGAAAAAAUAAUCCCUAUUCUCAGUAGCAAGUUUAUUUCUGAGUGCUAUAUGUCAAAAUGAAAUCUUACAGUGUCUUUUUUCAGAAGCAUAUCUUUGCAAAAUCUGGAAUUUUAAAGCAGGGAAACCUCUUGACAUUUGGAGACAAUUUUCGAAAAUCGAGGAAUAGUAUCUUAAUAUGGAGAAGAAAAAAAAACAGACAUUUUUAGAUAUGUAAUUUAAUUAAAAUUAGAUAUUUAAGUCCAGUAAUAUAACACAAGUAGACAAAAAUGGUGAGUAGUUUUCUCCCUAUAAAAAUCUGUUGCAAUUAAAGUUGAUGCAGACAGCUCUGGCCAGCACAUUGCUAUGUGCUCAGCAAAGGCAGCUGGAGCCUGGCAGACAAUUCUCCAAAGGCCAUACGCAUGCCUUGUCCCCACACAGCUCCGGUUUGCUGGCCAAGGCACAGAACUGACAAUCCUCCUGGUUCGAACUCAUCUCUUGCACCACAUUAUGUCUUUCUCAAAAUGCCAGCUUCUGAAGUCCUGCUGAGCUGAGAAUCUCAGCUGACAAUAUUUUUUUAAGUAGGUUUCCAGCACACACUAUUACAGGGAAAAGCCUGAAAACAUAGUGUGAGGACAUGCUGAACUCUCAAAAAAAAAGUUUGAAAAAAAUCCUAAAAAACAAGAGGUCUAAUAAAAAGAACAACAGAAGUGUUAUUAUUAUUAUUUUUAACGUAGUCUGAUUUGUUGUGGUCUGCAUCCUGAUUUUUUAAAUGCUUGUGGCUGAGAAUACUGGAAAUAUGUGUGUGCUUCCCUGGGAGAAGUGCUGCAAGGGCUGUGGUAGACUUGUGUUGUUACACAAAAAACAGAAGACAGAAAACCAGUUUCUAUCCAACAGGCAUGCCAUUCACAAUGGUGCCUUAGCAGUAAAGGAAGAAACAAUCUGAUCCAAAGGCAAAGAUAGAUGAGGAACAGAAAGGCAUGUGAUGAGACAGAUCGGAAGCAGAACCUGGGAGACUGGGCCAAAGUAGAAGGGAGAAGAGGACUGGUAAUUAGAAAUGGAUGUGUCUGUAGCCAUGAAAGUGGUCCUUUCAGAAAUCUGGAGAGAGACACAUUCCACACUUGUGUAGUGCAAUGAAACACACUGCUGUGAAAACCAACACUAAAACAUGUGGCAGCUACAUGGCUGACUGUUCUAUAUUCUGAGAUCUAAGUAUUCAAUAUGUGAUAUAGACCAACAGGACGAUUUUUUCCUUCCGGUCUUUGAAUUCAGUCCUAAUGUUGGUAUACUAUUGUAAUGCUUCACAAAUUAGUACUUUUUUCCCCGGAGAACCUCUCUCUCCAACAUAGUCUUGGGUUUAGCAGUAGACAUUAGUAGAAGGUUAAUUAAAGACUUUGAUCACCUUAUCAUGAAGAACUCUGGUGAAGAUAGAGAGAUAAGAAUCCAUUACUGGAGUGUUUUUCAGGCUUCUUGUUGCACUUAAGUUGCCCUUUCUCCUCUUAAAAGUCUCUGUUUUAUUCAUUGACACCUCUCAGCUUCUGUAAAA
Gallus gallus (chicken) is the source of this 3957-nucleotide long non-coding RNA. RefSeq lists it as uncharacterized. NCBI's taxonomy places the organism in Eukaryota, Metazoa, Chordata, Aves, Galliformes, Phasianidae. The transcript has 5 exons. The record is from RefSeq and is a predicted model, not a curated record.